UUUUUAACUUUUAUUUUGCUUACCGAAGACUUUGCAAAAGAGUUUCGGUACUCAUUUUUUACUUUUAUUUUGUGUAUCGGAAGAAUUUGCAAAAGAGUUCUCGUAGUCAGUUUUUUAAAAUAUUUUUUUACUUUUAUUUUGUGUACCGGAAAAUUUUGCAAAAAAGUUACGACAAUUAUUGUUUUUUACAUUUUUUAACUUUUAUUUUGUGUUCCGGAAGAUUUUGCAAGAGAGUUCCGG
RNAcentral lists this long non-coding RNA (240 nucleotides) under Lathyrus oleraceus (garden pea). RNAcentral describes it as "Pisum sativum (pea) long non-coding RNA (PSAT_LNC037026)". Lineage: Eukaryota; Viridiplantae; Streptophyta; Magnoliopsida; Fabales; Fabaceae. The record is from RNAcentral.